AUACGUAGGGGGCAAGCGUUGUCCGGAUUCAUUGGGCGUAAAGAGCUCGUAGGCGGUUCAGUAAGUUGGGUGUGAAAGCUCCGGGCUCAACCCGGAGAGGCCACCCAAUACUGCUGUGACUAGAGUCCAGUAGAGGAGCGUGGAAUUCCUGGUGUAGCGGUGAAAUGCGUAGAUAUCGAGAGGAACGCCAAUGGCGAAGGCUAGUCCCUGGACAGAUCCUGACACUGAGGCACGAAAGCUAGGGGAGC
This 248-nucleotide ribosomal RNA is filed under the name uncultured bacterium. Its description in RNAcentral is "partial 16S ribosomal RNA". It matches the Rfam family "Bacterial small subunit ribosomal RNA", at positions 523 to 769 of the family's 1533-position model. The record is from RNAcentral.